AUAAUAUUUUAAUCCUAAUGAUGGAUGAUGAUGACGAUAAAGUUAGUUCAUUUUCUUAUUUAACGUCGAAGAAAAGAAAAACAACAAAUGUUAUCUUUAAAAACCAUAAAUCUGAAUGAUAUUUUGAAAUUUUAAUCAAUCGACAUUUGAUAAACAAUCAAGUGAGUUUUGUCAAUAUUGCCGAAUUAAUUAUGAACAAUUCAAUUUUUUACUAUCAUUGGUGGAAGAAAAAUUAUCUGUAGAACCUAUCAAUCGAGUUAAAAAUCCAAUAUUACCGACAAAAAAACAUGACAGCGUGACAUUGAGAAGAUAAGCCUACACUCUCUGACAAUGAAAUUUUAUGGAAAAUAUCGGUACCGAUAGUUCUUGUCGGACCGCAGGGUUUGAAGUUGACCUUUCAAUCUUGUGAGAUCGGACCGUAGCAUACUCGGGUGGUUGAACUGGACUAUGUGCUAUCGGUGAACCAGCA
This is a long non-coding RNA of Aphis gossypii (cotton aphid), 469 nucleotides long. RefSeq lists it as uncharacterized. The transcript has 3 exons. Lineage: Eukaryota; Metazoa; Arthropoda; Insecta; Hemiptera; Aphididae. The record is from RefSeq and is a predicted model, not a curated record.